GCCAAGCCUGCCAGCCUCGAAUUUUUUUUCCCGCGGCGAGAUAGUAUCUCGAAUUUUUUUUUUUGCGAAUGGCCCUUAUAGUUAUAGUGUCAAAAUACAUGAACCGCGGAUUUUCUUCACAUAGGUAUGGGUGAUCAAAAAACAUGAAUUAUUCAUUAGGCCUAUUGCUGAACUCCAAUGACCCAGCAUACACACGUGCACACACACGUGAAGAUAUGACGUAGAGUGCAUACGGUACACAGCAGUACAUACAUGUACAUGGUGCCGGCCGGUGCAGGAGCUCGAUGGAGUAGGACUGGACCACGCAUUGGACGCAAACACUUAAGAUGUCACAGUACAGAGUGCUAUAUUUCAACAUUAAAGGCCCAGCUGAUCCGACUGCUGCUGCAUGACCAGGGUAUUGCAUUCACCGAUGAUGUCAUUGACAAGAAAGACUGGCCAGCUAUGAAACCCACUCUGAAUUUGGCAUUUGGUCAGAUGCCAGCUUUUUGGGAUGGUGAUUUCCAACUAGUUCAGACAGGUGCCAUACUGCGCUACCUGAGUCGCAAACAUGGUACAUAUGGAUCCAAUGACACUGAGGCAUCUUUGAUUGACAUGGCUUAUGACGGAAUUGAGGAUUUCUACCAACGUUAUAUUCGUAUGGUGUAUGAUAACUUUGCAAAUAGAAAAGAAAAAUUCCUUGCUGAGAUGGUUCCUAAUGUGAUUCUUCCAACUUUACAGAAACUGCUGAUGACAAAUAAGAACGGUGAAGGUUUUCUUGUUGGAGACAAGAUAUCCUUUGCAGAUUACCAUCUAUUUCAGUUCCUGGAUGCCUUGAUGGGGCUUUCUGCCUCAGCUUGUCUGGAGGCAUUUCCAGUCAUGAAGGCCUACUAUGAACGCAUAAAGGCCCGACCAGGCAUCAACAAGUUCCUUGCCAGUGACCUGAACCAGAAGCGGACUUUCAACAACGCCGGCCAUUAGUACAGUGGCAACUGGGUUAAGCAGAUACUAUUUGCCAACCUACACUGUAUGCAUUGGUCCCUGCAGAGUGCCAUAUUAACUUGUGUGGGAGUGGUGGUGUUGAGGAUGAAGCUACAUGUACGUUAAACAUGAUGGAAACUGAGACCUCAAGAGCUACCUGACAAGGAAAUUUACCGAGUGCCCACCAUUUCUGUCAAUUUACUACAUUGUAUUACGAAUUGCCAAGACCCCAGGGUUUUUGGUCUGGCACUCUCAAACUUUUAAUUCACAUGGCAUGCAUUUUCACAGCAUGUGUUGAAGUAUUUUGCCUUAUUCUGUAUGCUUUUCAUUGUUGACGUUUGUAUCACCAUAUCAAGUUUUUCUUGAACUGGAGUUUGUUCAAAAUGUUCGGUUCGCUUAAAUGCGUGCAUUCUGUACAGUUUGGUUUAUAACACGCGGUUUUCAGGCUGUGGGUUAAGUUCAUUUUAAGGAAUGAAUUCCACCCAAAUUUUAAUAUCGUUAUUUUUGUAUAGUUUGAGUCUUGUUUGGUUUUGUUCAUAAUUUUUGUUAUUUUUGUUUUGCUUUGAGCAGUUUGCAAUUUUUUUAUUCCAUUUAAAANAACUUCAUCUGUUCAAUUCAUUUAAUUCAAAGUUCAUUCCUGGUGUUGGUAUUUUGAAGCCUUUUUAGAAUUAAAAUAUGUUUAAAAUUUCUUAA
Molecule: unclassified non-coding RNA, 1653 nt
Filed under: Acanthaster planci (crown-of-thorns starfish)
Lineage: Eukaryota; Metazoa; Echinodermata; Asteroidea; Valvatida; Acanthasteridae
Description: glutathione S-transferase-like, transcript variant X3
Source: RNAcentral